ACUAUCGUUAACUGAAUACAUAGGUUAACGAGGCGAACCGGGGGAACUGAAACAUCUAAGUACCCCGAGGAAAAGAAAUCAACCGAGAUUCCCCCAGUAGCGGCGAGCGAACGGGGAGCAGCCCAGAGUCUGAAUCAGCUUGUGUGUUAGUGGAACGGUCUGGAAAGUCCGACGGUACAGGGUGAUAGUCCCGUACACCAAAAUGCACAGGCUGUGAACUCGAAGAGUAGGGCGGGACACGUGGUAUCCUGUCUGAAUAUGGGGGGACCAUCCUCCAAGGCUAAAUACUCCUGACUGACCGAUAGUGAACCAGUACCGUGAGGGAAAGGCGAAAAGAACCCCGGCGAGGGGAGUGAAAAAGAACCUGAAACCGUGUACGUACAAGCAGUGGGAGCACCUUCGGGUGUGACUGCGUACCUUUUGUAUAAUGGGUCAGCGACUUAUAUUCUGUAGCAAGGUUAACCGUAUAGGGGAGCCGCAGGGAAACCGAGUCUUAACUGGGCGUUAAGUUGCAGGGUAUAGACCCGAAACCCGGUGAUCUAGCCAUGGGCAGGUUGAAGGUUGGGUAACACUAACUGGAGGACCGAACCGACUAAUGUUGAAAAAUUAGCGGAUGACUUGUGGCUGGGGGUGAAAGGCCAAUCAAACCGGGAGAUAGCUGGUUCUCCCCGAAAGCUAUUUAGGUAGCGCCUCGUGAAUUCAUCUUCGGGGGUAGAGCACUGUUUCGGCUAGGGGGUCAUCCCGACUUACCAACCCGAUGCAAACUACGAAUACCGAAGAAUGUUAUCACGGGAGACACACGGCGGGUGCUAACGUCCGUCGUGAAGAGGGAAACAACCCAGACCGCCAGCUAAGGUCCCAAAGUCAUGGUUAAGUGGGAAACGAUGUGGGAAGGCACAGACAGCCAGGAUGUUGGCUUAGAAGCAGCCAUCAUUUAAAGAAAGCGUAAUAGCUCACUGGUCGAGUCGGCCUGCGCGGAAGAUGUAACGGGGCUAAACCAUGCACCGAAGCUGCGGCAGCGACACUAUGUGUUGUUGGGUAGGGGAGCGUUCUGUAAGCCUGCGAAGGUGUGCUGUGAGGCAUGCUGGAGGUAUCAGAAGUGCGAAUGCUGACAUAAGUAACGAUAAAGCGGGUGAAAAGCCCGCUCGCCGGAAGACCAAGGGUUCCUGUCCAACGUUAAUCGGGGCAGGGUGAGUCGACCCCUAAGGCGAGGCCGAAAGGCGUAGUCGAUGGGAAACAGGUUAAUAUUCCUGUACUUGGUGUUACUGCGAAGGGGGGACGGAGAAGGCUAUGUUAGCCGGGCGACGGUUGUCCCGGUUUAAGCAUGUAGGCUGGUUGUCCAGGCAAAUCCGGAUAAUCAAGGCUGAGGUGUGAUGACGAGGCACUACGGUGCUGAAGUAACAAAUGCCCUGCUUCCAGGAAAAGCCUCUAAGCAUCAGGUAACAUCAAAUCGUACCCCAAACCGACACAGGUGGUCAGGUAGAGAAUACCAAGGCGCUUGAGAGAACUCGGGUGAAGGAACUAGGCAAAAUGGUGCCGUAACUUCGGGAGAAGGCACGCUGGUGUGUAGGUGAAGUCCCUGCGGAUGGAGCUGAGACCAGUCGAAGAUACCAGCUGGCUGCAACUGUUUAUUAAAAACACAGCACUGUGCAAACACGAAAGUGGACGUAUACGGUGUGACGCCUGCCCGGUGCCGGAAGGUUAAUUGAUGGGGUUAUCCGUAAGGAGAAGCUCUUGAUCGAAGCCCCGGUAAACGGCGGCCGUAACUAUAACGGUCCUAAGGUAGCGAAAUUCCUUGUCGGGUAAGUUCCGACCUGCACGAAUGGCGUAAUGAUGGCCAGGCUGUCUCCACCCGAGACUCAGUGAAAUUGAACUCGCUGUGAAGAUGCAGUGUACCCGCGGCAAGACGGAAAGACCCCGUGAACCUUUACUAUAGCUUGACACUGAACAUUGAGCCUUGAUGUGUAGGAUAGGUGGGAGGCUUUGAAGCGUGGACGCCAGUCUGCGUGGAGCCAACCUUGAAAUACCACCCUUUAAUGUUUGAUGUUCUAACGUUGGCCCCUUACCGGGGUUGCGGACAGUGUCUGGUGGGUAGUUUGACUGGGGCGGUCUCCUCCCAAAGCGUAACGGAGGAGCACGAAGGUUAGCUAAUCCUGGUCGGACAUCAGGAGGUUAGUGCAAUGGCAUAAGCUAGCUUGACUGCGAGCGUGACGGCGCGAGCAGGUGCGAAAGCAGGUCAUAGUGAUCCGGUGGUUCUGAAUGGAAGGGCCAUCGCUCAACGGAUAAAAGGUACUCCGGGGAUAACAGGCUGAUACCGCCCAAGAGUUCAUAUCGACGGCGGUGUUUGGCACCUCGAUGUCGGCUCAUCACAUCCUGGGGCUGAAGUAGGUCCCAAGGGUAUGGCUGUUCGCCAUUUAAAGUGGUACGCGAGCUGGGUUUAGAACGUCGUGAGACAGUUCGGUCCCUAUCUGCCGUGGGCGCUGGAGAAUUGAGGGGGGCUGCUCCUAGUACGAGAGGACCGGAGUGGACGCAUCACUGGUGUUCGGGUUGUCAUGCCAAUGGCACUGCCCGGUAGCUAAAUGCGGAAGAGAUAAGUGCUGAAAGCAUCUAAGCACGAAACUUGCCCCGAGAUGAGUUCUCCCUGAGACUUUAAGUCUCCUGAAGGAACGUUAAAGACGAUGACGUUGAUAGGCCGGGUGUGUAAGCGCAGCGAUGCGUUGAGCUAACCGGUACUAAUGAACCGUGAGGCUUAACC
Molecule: ribosomal RNA, 2755 nt
Filed under: Klebsiella pneumoniae subsp. pneumoniae
Lineage: Bacteria; Pseudomonadati; Pseudomonadota; Gammaproteobacteria; Enterobacterales; Enterobacteriaceae
Description: bacterial LSU rRNA
Rfam family: Bacterial large subunit ribosomal RNA
Source: RNAcentral